This is a long non-coding RNA of Daucus carota subsp. sativus, 1851 nucleotides long. RefSeq lists it as uncharacterized. Lineage: Eukaryota; Viridiplantae; Streptophyta; Magnoliopsida; Apiales; Apiaceae. The transcript is spliced from 2 exons. The record is from RefSeq and is a predicted model, not a curated record.
AAAUUUUAUCCGAUACAAAUUACCAAAAUAUUCCAAUUUUGGUAUUUUUUUUUAUAUUUCUGCGGGUUCUAAAAGUAUUUGAUAGUUGUACAAAUUAAUAUUUUUGUUAUUUUUAAAUUAGUGAGAACUUCAGUAAUGAAUUGUAAAAUUAGAGGGUGUCUAAAAAUUAUUAUUUUUGCACAUUCUCUGUAUUUCAGAUUUUUAAUGAUUUUAGAAAAUUUUACUUUUUGUUUUCAAAAAUGUUUUAGAGCCCCUAAAUUUAAUAAAAUGAUUAAACUAGCAUUCUUUUUCAAAUUGGGGGUUACAAAUUUUAAAAAUAAAAAUAGAAACUUUCUUUCUUUUCAUUCCGUACAAAACACACGAGCAGACAGGGUUGGGGGUUUAGGGAUUGCAUCAAUCGGCGAUUUCAAGCAAAUCGCAGAGAGGCGACGGGAGGUAGGUGGAUUGGAGGUUGAAGGAGGAGGCUGAUGGGGCGUUCUUCGCCGGUGAAGGAGGCGGCGUGUGGUGGCGCUGCUAUGGAUUCCAGUUUUAGCUAUGGUUGCAAGUUGGGCAGGUUGUUGUAGCUGCUGUUGUUGCAGCGCAGAGAGAGAUGAUGGAGGCGAGCAGUUGUAGAGCUAUUUGGUGGUGGCUGAAGUCGACCAAGAUGUGCAUAUAGAGGAUGUUCAGAAGUAGUUGAAUAGUAUCGUGGAGCGAGGAUGGAACAAACCAAUAAAGCGAAGCUAUGCUAUGGAUAGUCAGUUAAGUUCUGUCAGAAACUAAGCAGAAGGGAACAAUUGUCAGUAGAUAGUAUUGUUAGAAAUCUGAGAAGCAGGAGUUAAGGCAAGUACUUCUAUCCUUCUCUUACAGUUAACAAAUAUUUUUAUUUGCAACCUAUACAUAUACUGCAAGUAAUUCUAUUUGUCUCUUAUAAUUAAAGAGCAAUUUUCCUAUCAUUCUCUUUUAUUUAAAAAGCAAUUUCCCAGUUUCUUCUAUUUAUUCAAGAAUGCUUUUGAGACUUUUUGGAAUUCUUUAUUGGUAAAUGUAUUUCUUGGUUUACUUUGUCCUAGUGGCAAUUGGUUAUUUUGUUCAAUAUUCUCUUGCUAUUAUAUCUUUUAAGAAUGUUGAGCAUAGCCAACUAUAUAUGAUUUCAAACUUGGUUAACAGUGAAAUGUGGUAUACAGAGUAUUACUCUGCAGGUUUUGAUUUAAAAAGGUUGGAUGCCUUUUGGGUUUGGUAACAUGAAAAUGGUGUUAAAAGACUUCUAAUAUAGAAGUAUAUUUAUAAACUGUUAACCAAUCGGAAUUCAUUUGCUGGACCGUGGUGCCGGUCGUGAGUUACAUGUUACAUUAUUUAAGGCCAAUGUGUGCCUUGGGCCCCUUAGUUCUUUGGAUAGGUAGCGCCCUGUCCUGGUGCUUGAUGCUCGGCUGAUCACCGUGUCAGCACAACGCACCGUAAGUGAAUGAUUUUUCACAGAAUAGUUUUGAAUGAUUUUAUUCUCUUGUAAUUGCCAUACUUUUAAAAUAUGACUCUUGUUCUAUAUUGUUAAAAAUACCUGGCAAGUUACAUAUAGAAUUUGAUAUAUUUCAGUUCUCUUUCAUUUAUUACAUCUUUUCUUGUUAUAUACUUGCUGAGCAUUAUUGCUCACUCUUGCUAUCCCUAUUAACCUUUUCAGCUAGGGAUUAAGGUGAUUUAUUUGUCGAGCUGCGCGUAAGAAUAUUGCUAGGCAAGAUUGCAAGGGACCAAAUUUCAGCUUGAUUAUCAGGUAGAGUAUUUUGGAAGAUAUCAAGGAAACUAGUUGUGAUUAGAAUGGUACAAUUUUAUAUCAGUUGUAUAAUAAUUUAUUUAUUGGUUAUCAGUUACUCUUCUUAUCGA